Molecule: ribosomal RNA, 275 nt
Filed under: uncultured bacterium
Lineage: Bacteria
Description: partial 16S ribosomal RNA
Rfam family: Bacterial small subunit ribosomal RNA
Source: RNAcentral
GCGUGAGUGAAGAAGGCCUUCGGGUUGUAAAGCUCUUUUACCCGGGAAGAUAAUGACUGUACCGGGAGAAUAAGCCCCGGCUAACUCCGUGCCAGCAGCCGCGGUAAUACGGAGGGGGCUAGCGUUGUUCGGAAUUACUGGGCGUAAAGCGCACGUAGGCGGCUUUGUAAGUUAGAGGUGAAAGCCCAGGGCUUAACCCUGGAACUGCCUUUAAGACUGCAAGGCUUGAAUCGCGGAGAGGUGAGUGGAAUUCCGAGUGUAGAGGUGAAAUUCGU